CCUACGGGAGGCAGCAGUAGGGAAUCUUCCGCAAUGGACGAAAGUCUGACGGAGCAACGCCGCGUGAACGAUGAAGGCCUUCGGGUCGUAAAGUUCUGUUGUUAGGGAAGAACAAGUGCUAGUUGAAUAAGCUGGCACCUUGGCGGUACCUAACCAGAAAGCCACGGCUAACUACGUGCCAGCAGCCGCGGUAAUACGUAGGUGGCAAGCGUUGUCCGGAAUUAUUGGGCGUAAAGCGCGCGCAGGCGGUUUCUUAAGUCUGAUGUGAAAGCCCCCGGCUCAACCGGGGAGGGUCAUUGGAAACUGGGAAACUUGAGUGCAGAAGAGGAAAGUGGAAUUCCAAGUGUAGCGGUGAAAUGCGUAGAGAUUUGGAGGAACACCAGUGGCGAAGGCGACUUUCUGGUCUGUAACUGACGCUGAGGCGCGAAAGCGUGGGGAGCAGACAGGAUUAGAUACCCUGGUAGUCCACGCUGUAAACGAUGAGUGCUAAGUGUUAGAGGGUUUCCGCCCUUUAGUGCUGAAGUUAACGCAUUAAGCACUCCGCCUGGGGAGUACGGUCGCAAGCUGAAACUCAAAGGAUUGACGGNUGAGACGNGCGAGNGACGACGAGGAGAGG
Molecule: ribosomal RNA, 616 nt
Filed under: uncultured bacterium
Lineage: Bacteria
Description: bacterial SSU rRNA
Rfam family: Bacterial small subunit ribosomal RNA
Source: RNAcentral